CUUCUAAGUCCUAUGUCUGGGGCCCUCGACACAAGAAAGAUGUGGAGUGUUUGGAGAGGGUCCAGAGGAGGGCCACAAAGAUGAUCCACGGGUUGGAGCACCUAUCCUAUGAAGGCAGACUGAAGGAACUGGGCUUGUUCAGCCUGGAACAGAGAAGGCUGCAGGGAGACCUCAUUGCAGCCUUCCACAGCAAACAAGAAUGAGAAAACAAACAUUUAGUACAAAAAGGACUGAAGAUAAUUCCUCAGGGUGGAGAAGCAGCUGAAGGGCUGACGCUGGUCCUCCUGUGCCUGCUUAAGAUGGAAGGUGGCUCAUGGGAAUGGUAAUGCAACAACAACAAAACACAAAUACUUUUGUUAAGGUGACUGAUCUUCAUGGUUGAGAAAUAAAUGCUUGGGAAGCCAGCAUUCCCCCUUUGGGAGAGCCAUUAUUUACUGUCAUUUUGAUGACCUUCAUGUGAUGAUUAGAUCAGGAUUGGCAAGCUAUCACAGUAAAUUCAAGUGGAAGAUGGGAUCUGAAGUACUGUGCAAACUUGUGUUGCUACAGAAUCAGAAUCAUUAGAAAGCUAUUUGUUUGUUUGUUGGCUAGUUUGUUUAAUAUUUGGCUUACUAUAACUUAUCUGAUGUAAAUACAGAGGUG
RNAcentral lists this long non-coding RNA (639 nucleotides) under Gallus gallus (chicken). RNAcentral's name for it is "lncRNA (ENSGALG00010009255.1)". Lineage: Eukaryota; Metazoa; Chordata; Aves; Galliformes; Phasianidae. The record is from RNAcentral.